AUUGAACGCUGGCGGCAGGCCUAACACAUGCGAGUCGAGCGGAUGAAGGGAGCUUGCUCCUGGAUUCAGCGGCGGACGGGUGAGUAAUGCCUAGGAAUCUGCCUGGUAGUGGGGGAUAACGUCCGGAAACGGGCGCUAAUACCGCAUACGUCCUGAGGGAGAAAGUGGGGGAUCUUCGGACCUCACGCUAUCAGAUGAGCCUAGGUCGGAUUAGCUAGUUGGUGGGGUAAAGGCCUACCAAGGCGACGAUCCGUAACUGGUCUGAGAGGAUGAUCAGUCACACUGGAACUGAGACACGGUCCAGACUCCUACGGGAGGCAGCAGUGGGGAAUAUUGGACAAUGGGCGAAAGCCUGAUCCAGCCAUGCCGCGUGUAUGAAGAAGGUCUUCGGAUUGUAAAGCACUUUAAGUUGGGAGGAAGGGCAGUAAGUUAAUACCUUGCUGUUUUGACGUUACCAACAGAAUAAGCACCGGCUAACUUCGUG
RNAcentral lists this ribosomal RNA (484 nucleotides) under uncultured bacterium. Its description in RNAcentral is "partial 16S ribosomal RNA". It matches the Rfam family "Bacterial small subunit ribosomal RNA", at positions 30 to 507 of the family's 1533-position model. The record is from RNAcentral.